Musa acuminata subsp. malaccensis (wild Malaysian banana) is the source of this 1382-nucleotide non-coding RNA. The record is from RefSeq and is a predicted model, not a curated record. Lineage: Eukaryota; Viridiplantae; Streptophyta; Magnoliopsida; Zingiberales; Musaceae.
UUGAUCACAGUGGAGUCACGUUCCUUGUUAUCAUUUAUGAUUCGGGUCCACGUCCGCCGUAAUCUUGACCCAAGUCAAGUCAAACUCAAGUCAGAUUGUAAUGAUGCAAUCCGUCCACUGGAUCACCAAUCAAGAUGGUUACCAUCAAAUCAACGGCGACAGGAUUCGGGUUCGUAGUGUCCGUUCGCUUCAAACUCCGUUCGGCUGCGUGUUGGGCGCCGCCCUCGAAACGGAGAAGAAAACCGCCGCAAAGAUCGCUCAAUUCCUUAACGAACCCUUGAAUCCCUUUAAAUUCGAAAAAGGAAGCGAAUCGUAAUCGAGAUUCCUUCCGCUUAAUCGUCGGAAAUCACGAGCAUGAUGAUCUUGGAAGCGGCGGUGGCGGAGGAAGAAGAGGAUGCGAGGCCGAUGUUGGAGCGGCGGGGAGAGCCCUUGAUGGGGAGCGUCGGAGGGGAUGUGCAUUUGAUUCCGCCAUCCAACUUCGGGGUUCCCUAUUUCGGACAAUUUUCCCUUCUUGGAGUCCCUCAACUUGCGAUCCAUCGUGUACUUGUGCCCGGAGCCGUACCCGGCGGCUAAUGCUGAGUUCGUGAGGUCUCAGGGGAUUCGGCUUUUCCAGUUCGGGAUCGAAGGGAGCAGGUCAAAACUAUAUGGUGCCUGCUUAGCUCAUUUGUUCUGUUGUUUCGGAUGUAAGGAACCAUCCGAUUUUAAUUCACUGCAAACGGGGAAAGGUAUGAAAUUUAGGUCAGAUCAAGUUACUUUAUCUCACAUAUUUAUGUAAGGAUCUCUAAAACUCACUUAUAUUUACCCAUCAAUGUCCUUUCUUGCAGCACCGUACUGGUUGUCUUGUUGGCUGUUUCAGAAAAUUACAAAAUUGGUGUUUAUCCUCUGUGCACGAAGAAUACAUAAAAUUUGCAUCAGUCAAGGCGCGGCCAUCGGACAUGAAAUUUAUUGAGAUGUUUGAUGUUUCGUGUAUGAUGCAAUGUGUUCUUCAUAUCUUGUACCAGUACCAUGGCUGUGGCAACCACACUCGGCGCCUUGCUUAUCAAAAGACAUCAUAAUUGCCCUUUAGGCUUCGCUGAUUUUGCAUGGGCAAGGAGAAGCAUCUAACAAGAUUCUCCAUGCACUUGCUGAUCUUAGUUCUCUCAUCGUCUUUUCUGUACAUCAUUCUAGUUAGAAAAUUAUCAUACUUUAAAGAGAAGUCUUUUAGGUGUAAGAACUGCAUCUCUUGAUGAACAUAUUGAUCAGAUAUAGAUUUUUUUUUUCUAGCUUUUAUUCCUUGAGAAACUUAUAGCGUUUAAAUGGUUUAAACGCAUAAGAAGAUCACCAUGACUAGUAGUUUGGGCUUCUUUUUUGUGUGUGAAAAGCAUUUCUCUGAAAUUUUUUGU